This 3169-nucleotide ribosomal RNA is filed under the name Rhodothalassiaceae bacterium. Its description in RNAcentral is "23S ribosomal RNA". It matches the Rfam family "Bacterial large subunit ribosomal RNA". Lineage: Bacteria; Pseudomonadati; Pseudomonadota; Alphaproteobacteria; Rhodothalassiales; Rhodothalassiaceae. The record is from RNAcentral.
GUAAGGGCAUCUGGUGGAUGCCUUGGCGCGCGGAGGCGAUGAAGGACGUGGCACGCUGCGAUAAGCCGUGGGGAGCUGCGAGCAAGCUUUGAUCCGCGGAUCUCCGAAUGGGGAAACCCACCGCUUCAUGCGGUAUCCCAUCCUGAAUCCAUACGGAUGGGAGGCGAACCCGGGGAACUGAAACAUCUCAGUACCCGGAGGAAAGGAAAUCAACCGAGACUCCCCGAGUAGUGGCGAGCGAAAGGGGACCAGGCCAGUGGCCUCGGAGAGGAAACCGGAACGGUUCUGGAAAGGCCGACCGGAGAGGGUGAUAGUCCCGUACGGGUAAAGCCGAUCCGAGGUCCUCGAGUAGGGCGGGACACGUGGAAUCCCGUCUGAACAUGGGAGGACCACCUUCCAAGCCUAAGUACUCCCGCGCGACCGAUAGUGCACCAGUACCGUGAGGGAAAGGUGAAAAGCACCCCGAUGAGGGGAGUGAAACAGACCCUGAAACCGGAUGCCUACAAGCAGUCGGAGCCUCCUUGUGGGGUGACGACGUACCUUUUGCAUAAUGGGUCAGCGAGUUGGUGUCACGAGCGAGCUUAAGCCGAGUGAGGUGGAGGCGCAGCGAAAGCGAGUCCUAACAGGGCGACCAGUUCGUGGCAUCAGACCCGAAGCCCGGUGAUCUAGCCAUGGCCAGGCUGAAGGUGGGGUAACACCCACUGGAGGGCCGAACCCGUGUCUGUUGAAAAAGACUGGGAUGAGCUGUGGCUAGGGGUGAAAGGCCAAUCAAACCGGGAGAUAGCUGGUUCUCCGCGAAAGCUAUUGAGGUAGUGCGUCGGGUGGUCACCUUCGGGGGUAGAGCACUGGAUGGGCUAGGGGGCCGCGAGGCUUACCAAACCUAACCAAACUCCGAAUACCGAAGAGUGCAGCCCGGCAGACAGACUGCGGGUGCUAAGGUCCGUGGUCGAGAGGGAAACAGCCCUGACCGCCAGCUAAGGUCCCUAAAUCGUGUCUAAGUGGGAAAGGAAGUGAAGACCCCAAAACAACCAGGAGGUUGGCUUAGAAGCAGCCAUCCUUUAAAGAAAGCGUAACAGCUCACUGGUCUAAUCAAGGGUCUUCGCGCCGAAGAUGUAACGGGGCUCAAGACACGUACCGAAGCUGCGGGAUCGGUGAUCAGUGAUCAGUCAUCAGUGAUCGGGUGAGGACGAUGGAACCGGGCCAGACAUGGAGAUUUGAGGACCUUGAGGUCUUCAAACGCGCCUAUGCCCUGUCUCUGGAUGUUCAUCGUGCGACGUUGAGCUUUCCGAAGAUUGAACAAUACGGAGGGCUGGCCGAUCAGAUGCGGCGUGCAUCGAAGUCGGUCUGUGCUCUGAUCGCGGAAGGCCAAGGGCGAUCGCGUUCAACGUGGGAGGAAUUUCGUCGCUAUCUUGUGAUGGCGAUGAGUUCCGCUGACGAAAUGCAGCUGUGGUGUAGAUACGCUCGUGACUUGGGGUAUCUUGACCGGCAGAUUGCAGAUCGUUGGCAGGAGGCGUACCGGAUAGUGGCCCGGAUGCUUCAGAGCUUCGUGGCGCAUCUUUCCUCGUCUGAUAACUGAUAACCGAUCACUGAUCACCGGUCGGUAGCGGAGCGUUCCGUACGCCUGCGAAGCGGUUCCGUGAGGAGCCGUGGAGGUAUCGGAAGUGCGAAUGCUGACAUGAGUAGCGAUAAGGAGGGUGAGAGUCCCUCCCGCCGAAAGUCCAAGGGUUCCUGCGCAAUGCUCGUCAGCGCAGGGUGAGCCGGCCCCUAAGGCGAGGCCGAAAGGCGUAGCCGAUGGGAACACGGUUAAUAUUCCGUGGCCCGGUGGUGGUGACGAAUGCCGCAAGUUGUCCGGCCUUACUGGAUUGGCACGGGCAGCGAAGGCGUUCCAGGAAAUAGCCCCACCAUUAUGGACCGUACCCGAAACCGACACAGGUGGACUGGUAGAGCAUACCAAGGCGCUUGGGAGAACGGUGCUGAAGGAACUCGGCAAAUUGCCUCCGUAACUUCGGGAGAAGGAGGCCCUGCCGAUGGGCAACCAUUGGCAGGGGGCACAAGCCAGGGGGUGGCGACUGUUUACUAAAAACACAGGGCUCUGCGAAGCCGAUCAAGGCGACGUAUAGGGUCUGACGCCUGCCCGGUGCCGGAAGGUUAAAGGGAGGGGUGCAAGCCCCGAACUGAAGCCCCGGUAAACGGCGGCCGUAACUAUAACGGUCCUAAGGUAGCGAAAUUCCUUGUCGGGUAAGUUCCGACCUGCACGAAUGGCGUAACGACUUCCCCACUGUCUCCAGCACCGACCCAGCGAAAUUGAACUCUCCGUGAAGAUGCGGAGUACCCGCGGUUAGACGGAAAGACCCCGUGCACCUUUACUACAGCUUCAGAGUGGCAUGAGGGACGACAUGUGUAGGAUAGGUGGGAGGCUGUGAAGCCGGGGCGCCAGCUCCGGUGGAGCCGUCGGUGAAAUACCACCCUUGUCGUUCUUCGUGUCUAACCGCGCCCCGUGAACCCGGGGCCGGGACCCUCUGUGGCGGGUAGUUUGACUGGGGCGGUCGCCUCCCAAAGAGUAACGGAGGCGCGCGAAGGUCGGCUCGGAUCGGUUGGAAAUCGAUCUUCAGAGUGCAAUGGCAUAAGCCGGCCUGACUGCGAGACCGACGGGUCGAGCAGGGACGAAAGUCGGCCAUAGUGAUCCGGUGGUCCCGCGUGGAAGGGCCAUCGCUCAACGGAUAAAAGGUACGCCGGGGAUAACAGGCUGAUACCCCCCAAGAGCCCAUAUCGACGGGGGUGUUUGGCACCUCGAUGUCGGCUCAUCACAUCCUGGGGCUGGAGCAGGUCCCAAGGGUUCGGCUGUUCGCCGAUUAAAGUGGUACGUGAGCUGGGUUUAGAACGUCGUGAGACAGUUCGGUCCCUAUCUGCCGCGGGCGUUCGAGACUUGAGAGGAGCUGUCCCUAGUACGAGAGGACCGGGAUGGACGCACCUCUGGUGGACCGGUUGUGGCGCCAGCCGCAGUGCCGGGUAGCUAUGUGCGGAAGGGAUAACCGCUGAAAGCAUCUAAGCGGGAAGCCCCCCUCAAGAUGAGGUCUCGUUUGAAGAGCCGUGGAAGACCACCACGUUGAUAGGCCGGAGGUGGAAGCGCAGCAAUGCGUGAAGCUGACCGGUACUAAUGGCUCGAAUG